AAAUUUAUAUAAAAUAUUUUGGGAUGAAUAUUUAUAUACUAUUAACAUAACUUCAUAUUACUAUAUAUUUUAGUAUAUGAAAUUUUACUUUGAGAAAAUUAGAGUGCUUAAAGCAGGCAUAUGCCUUGAAUACUCCAGCGUGGAAUAAUAUUAAAGAUUUUUAUCUUUCUUAUUGGUUCUAAGAUAAGAAUAAUGAUUAAUAGGGACAGUUGGGGGCAUUUGUAUUUAACAGUCAGAGGUGAAAUUCUUAGAUUUGUUAAAGACAAACUAAUGCGAAAGCAUUUGCCAAGGAUGUUUUCAUUAAUCAAGAACGAAAGUUAGGGGAUCGAAGACGAUCAGAUACCGUCGUAGUCUUAACCAUAAACUAUGCCAACUAGAGAUUGGAGGUUGUUCCUUACUCCUUC
This 404-nucleotide ribosomal RNA is filed under the name Cryptosporidium parvum. RNAcentral describes it as "SSU rRNA". It matches the Rfam family "Eukaryotic small subunit ribosomal RNA", at positions 666 to 1081 of the family's 1831-position model. The record is from RNAcentral. Lineage: Eukaryota; Apicomplexa; Conoidasida; Eucoccidiorida; Cryptosporidiidae.